AGAAGAGUGGCUGAGGGGUUUAAAGCGAAGAUCUGCUAAAUCUUUAUAUAGAAAUAAACUAUAUCGUGGGUUCGAAUCCCACUUCUUCUGA
Molecule: transfer RNA, 91 nt
Filed under: Cylindrotheca closterium
Lineage: Eukaryota; Bacillariophyta; Bacillariophyceae; Bacillariales; Bacillariaceae
Rfam family: tRNA
About the family: Transfer RNA (tRNA) molecules are approximately 80 nucleotides in length. Their secondary structure includes four short double-helical elements and three loops (D, anti-codon, and T loops).
Source: RNAcentral